UGCCAAUGACGAAACAUAUGGUACAUAUGUAAUGUAUGAUUUUUCAUGAUUACCAUACCAUUACUGCCUUCCUUCCGAGGCU
Small nucleolar RNA from Gastrolobium bilobum, 82 nucleotides. RefSeq annotates it as small nucleolar RNA U83. The transcript has a single exon. The record is from RefSeq and is a predicted model, not a curated record. Lineage: Eukaryota; Viridiplantae; Streptophyta; Magnoliopsida; Fabales; Fabaceae.